Molecule: ribosomal RNA, 253 nt
Filed under: uncultured bacterium
Lineage: Bacteria
Description: partial 16S ribosomal RNA
Rfam family: Bacterial small subunit ribosomal RNA
Source: RNAcentral
UACGUAGGGCGCAAGCGUUGUCCGGAAUUAUUGGGCGUAAAGAGCUCGUAGGCGGUUUGUCGCGUCUGCUGUGAAAACGCGAGGCUCAACCUCGCGCCUGCAGUGGGUACGGGCAGACUAGAGUGCGGUAGGGGAGACUGGAAUUCCUGGUGUAGCGGUGGAAUGCGCAGAUAUCAGGAGGAACACCGGUGGCGAAGGCGGGUCUCUGGGCCGUUACUGACGCUGAGGAGCGAAAGCAUGGGGAGCGAACAGG